This is a long non-coding RNA of Oncorhynchus nerka (sockeye salmon), 1150 nucleotides long. RefSeq lists it as uncharacterized. The transcript is spliced from 4 exons. The record is from RefSeq and is a predicted model, not a curated record. Lineage: Eukaryota; Metazoa; Chordata; Actinopteri; Salmoniformes; Salmonidae.
GGCGCUAUCUCAAAUAGCUCAUUAGUGUGACUACAUGUUCUAUGGUCAACUUCCUGUUCACAUGUGGUCAAGGUUACUAAUCUGAGUGAGGUCAGAAGACAUGCCUACCAGUUUGCUGUGGCACACCAGCUGAAGUUCGCGCCAAUGUGGGCAGAAAAGGAAAAGGCCAGCUCGGAGUGGUUUACAGGCUUCUUAAAGCGGCACCCAACGCUGUCACUGAGAAAGCCAGAGGCAACUAGCCUUGCCAGGGCAACAUGGGUUGGGAGAAGGAUGGACGCAAUGGAAGAAAGCCAAUGUUUCCCAUAGAAUUAUGGAACUGCUAAGAUGCUGUCCUGCAAGACUUGGCGAAGACCAACAACAGAGUGGAGGACUGGAAUGGAACAUUUUUGGCAAAUCUAGGUGCUACCCACCCCCACCAUUUGGAAGUUCAUCAAGGCAUUGCAAUGACAGCAGCAAAGAAGUGAAAUGAGAAUGGAGCAGCAACUUGCUGGCAUUUCUCCACCACAGCAAAGACCCCGCUACCGCAAGCAACAGAAGGAUCUGAAGUCACUGGUUCAGGGGUACACCACAACUGAACGGUUGGAGUCUUAAAAGGCACUGCAUGGUCAAUCUGACUUCUGCAUUGGCUGUGCAGCAUUUACGGGGAUACAGCCUCUGCAGAAGGCAGAGCAUUCAUACGUCUUGCGCUUAUCAGAGCAGCGCAGAGCUGUUGUCAAGGAAGUGAGUUUGUGUUUAUACAGGCCUCACCUACCAUCAAUCAAUCAUCUCAAUGCAGCGCUAUAUGAAGCCCUCCGCAUUGUUACAAGAUUUGUGGGGUGUACAGCAUGCCCCCGGAUGCAUCAAAUCAUCCAUACAGCGCUUCUGACCACAUUUUCAGAUCAAUCAUAAAUUGGCUUUGACCCUGCAUACAAUCUCAAGUUGCAGUUGUGAAUAAUCCAAAAUCCAUCUGAGAAAAAUGAGCACCUAACCUACUUGAACACUUCAACCCUUUCAAUGACUCAAAAAUCCUUAUUAAACCAGAACAUUAAGCACAUUCUUGGAAAAUGUGUUCCUGAACUUAUUUUUGUUUUCAUGGCACUGCAUUGUCAUGUAGCCUACUCUUAUUUUUGUUGUAUUUUUUGGUUAAUUAAAAAUAAAUGUUUUAGGCAUA